CCUACGGGCGGCAGCAGUGAGGAAUAUUGGUCAAUGGGCGCGAGCCUGAACCAGCCAAGUAGCGUGAAGGAUGACUGCCCUAUGGGUUGUAAACUUCUUUUAUAAGGGAAUAAAGUGAGGCACGUGUUCCUUUUUGCAUGUACUUUAUGAAUAAGCAUCGGCUAACUCCGUGCCAGCAGCCGCGGUAAUACGGAGGAUCCGAGCGUUAUCCGGAUUUAUUGGGUGUAAAGGGUGCGUAGGUGGGUUAUUAAGUCAGUGGUGAAAGUUUGUGGCUCAACCGUAAAAUUGCAAUUGAUACUGGCAGACUUGAGUACAGUUGAGGUAGGCGGAAUGCGUGGUGUAGCGGUGAAAUGCUUAGAUAUCACGAAGAACCCCGAUUGCGAAGGCAGCUUACUAAACUGUAACUGACACUGAUGCGCGAAAGUGUGGGGAGCAAACAGGAUUAGAUACCCCUGUAGUC
This 460-nucleotide ribosomal RNA is filed under the name uncultured bacterium. RNAcentral's name for it is "partial 16S ribosomal RNA". It matches the Rfam family "Bacterial small subunit ribosomal RNA", at positions 338 to 795 of the family's 1533-position model. The record is from RNAcentral.